This 2319-nucleotide long non-coding RNA is filed under the name Lepidothrix coronata (blue-crowned manakin). RNAcentral's name for it is "lncRNA (ENSLCOG00000015416.1)". The record is from RNAcentral. Lineage: Eukaryota; Metazoa; Chordata; Aves; Passeriformes; Pipridae.
GAGGACUGUGAGUUCUACCUCACAGCCCAGCAGUUCAUCGUGCUGCCCAUCCAGAGGCAGAGGAUAGAAUCAUCCGAUGGGAACCAGGAGCCUUCUGUGGUGAAGAAGAUAAAGGAGCUGUGGCUGAAGAAUCCUGCUGUGAAGAAUGCUUCCAGCUCAGGUAAAGAGUUGUGGGGGACACACGAUGCUCUGGCUGCCUCGUAGAGUCGCUGGGUUUCCUCAGCUUUGGUGUGUGUUAGGCAGAGGUAGCACAAGUAUGGUCAGAUCUCACAAGGAUAUGUUGCUAAACCCAAAGCAGGAUGAGGCAGUGCUGAUAGCUGAAGCAGUAUGGGACAUGGCAUGCUGUGUUCAUGCUGCUGGCCCAGGAAGUGUGGACAAAGGAAAGAGAGUUUCUAGAAGCAAAGGAAGUGCAGAAUUUUUGAUAUUUCCACAGAUUUCAGUGCACACAACAGUCAUGCAGCCAAGUAAAAGCGUUUGCAAGUGGGGCUUGCCAGAGUUCAGCUGUCUGCUCCACACAUGUCUCUGUGUUCUUGCUUCAGACCCCUCCAUCUCUCAGCUGAUCGAUGCCAUAGGACAGAACCAGCUGGAGAUUUUGAAGGAAAAUGCUGAGGAAUGCUUGGAUUUACAGAUGCCCAAGGAGAAGACGGUGACGGUGACGGACGAGGUUCCUGUCACCGAGUGGGAGGCAGAGCGCAAGAAAGAGCAGGAUCAGGAUGUUUUCAUGGUCCCAGUCAACACCCUGGUGAUCCCUCCUGAGGAGGAGGAAGUUGCUUGUGAUUCUUCCAAGACAGAUACAAACAAAACAACUGCUGGGAAGAGUAGUGAUGACAGGACAGUGCCAGGGGAUCCAAGUGUUGUAUCCCAAGCCAGCCAUGCUGAGUCACUGGCCUUGUCUGAUAGCUUGGAGGGAUCCCUGGACAACCCCUGGAACAGGAUCCCCCCAUUGUCUUUGACCCCGAGCUCUUCAGAUGAGAAGACCAUUCAACCUGACGCUUCCAUGAAGACCCAGAAAGAUGUGUCUGCUGACAGCAACACCCCCGACCUGCUGGAACUGUGUAGCCAGGACUCUCCCAAGAGAUUGCCACAGGGAGAGCCAGUACAGACUUUCUCUCCCUCCCUGCUCUGCUCCUACAGCAAUCCCAGUCCACUGAAGACCAGCACCAGCCAGGCAGCAUCAGCUUUGGGGGCAGCCUGUGGUGCCCCCUGCACUGCUCAAGGCCCGCAGGGAUCAAGGGGCUCUCAGGCCCCCCUGCCAACUCUUUCUCCAGAUUUCCCUGUCUUGCCCAGCACCAGCUUGCAAUCCAUGCCCAACAGGAUGCCUCAUGGGGAACAGGCGUGCUCCAGUGGCACAGCUUUCCCUCCAGAUGCGUUGAAGCCUUGUCCAGUUCCUGCCAGGACACGGAACGGAGCGGGUGCCAAGAGGAAGUUGGUGGUGGGAGAUGACCAGGCACUGCUGGCCCCCGGCGGGCAGCAGCAUCCCCAGGGCACCCCAAGGGGCAGGGGGACAGGCACAGGCAGGAGAUCAGAGCUCAGGAGCCCACGGCGUGCAAAGAAGAGCAGAAAGGAGACGGGGCUGCAACAUGGAAAGGAGCUUGAGGAGGAAGAGGAGGAGGAGGAGGAGGAGGAAGAAGAGCAAGGGUCGUCCUCUGCGAGCGGCCCCAGCUCCAGGCCGGAGCAGCGCAGAACUCUGGAGCCGUACGUGAGGAAACCAGCCCAGUACAAAUAUGAGGCACCAAGCCCCGAGCUCUGCCAGGAGAUACAGUCUAUCAGGAUCUCCAAGGCAAUGCUGAAGUGGGCAUGCUGGAUACUAACAGAGGAGGAGGAGGAUUCCUGAGCCUAGCCCGCUCUUCACUCCGUCCUUCUUUCACCGUAUCCUCCAAAACACUGGGAAGAGCAGUUGGGGGGGAUGUAGGGACACCAGGACCCCUGUGCCCAAGAGGACCACUGAGUGGGCUGACCUAGCUACAGAGACCUUGGCCCAGGGAUGCUGGGAUAUAACCUGUUGAAAGCCAGCACCCUCGGUGCCAAGAGGGGGAAAAAAGCAUCCAUGCAGGAAUGCCUGCAUGUGAGCUGGCAUCCCUCUCCCACCUUGCCAUCCUUUCCAAAUGCCUUGGCAUCUGGGGACAAGGGGUGACCCAGUGCCACUGUAGCAGCAAUGGCAGAGGCCUGACAACCUGAUCCCCUCUCCGAAGGUGCCCCAGGAGUUCGGAUGUUUUAUUGAUUAGUUUGGGUAGGGUCCUGCAUCAUUUGUUACAAAAAAUAUCCCGCAGGGUUAUGCUGUAGAAAUUAAAAAUAAAAAUUGUAUAUUUUUUGAAUACA